This 468-nucleotide ribosomal RNA is filed under the name uncultured bacterium. RNAcentral's name for it is "partial 16S ribosomal RNA". It matches the Rfam family "Bacterial small subunit ribosomal RNA", at positions 28 to 507 of the family's 1533-position model. The record is from RNAcentral.
GACGAACGCUGGCGGCGUGCUUAACACAUGCAAGUCGAACGGAAAGGCCCUGCUUUUGUUGGGUGCUCGAGUGGCGAACGGGUGAGUAACACGGGAGUAACCUGCCCUUGACUUUGGGAUAACUUCAGGAAACUGGGGCUAAUACCGGAUAGGAGCUCCUGCUGCAUGGUGGGGGUUGGAAAGUUUCGGCGGUUGGGGAUGGACUCGCGGCUUAUCAGCUUGUUGGUGAGGUAGUGGCUUACCAAGGCUUUGACGGGUAGCCGGCCUGAGAGGGUGACCGGCCACAUUGGGACUGAGAUACGGCCCAGACUCCUACGGGAGGCAGCAGUGGGGAAUAUUGCACAAUGGGCGGAAGCCUGAUGCAGCAACGCCGCGUGCGGGAUGACGGCCUUCGGGUUGUAAACCGCUUUCGCCUGUGACGAAGCGUGAGUGACGGUAAUGGGUAAAGAAGCACCGGCUAACUACGUG